Molecule: long non-coding RNA, 1964 nt
Organism: Anolis carolinensis (green anole)
Lineage: Eukaryota; Metazoa; Chordata; Lepidosauria; Squamata; Anolidae
Product: homeobox protein orthopedia
Exons: 2
Source: RefSeq, a predicted model, not a curated record
GGGGGGGGGGGGGGCUUGAGAGAUCUCUCCUUCCUUUCCCUUCCCUGGGUCUGCACUGCCAAGCAAUGCAUGAACGGAGGCCAGUCCCGUUGGGGCCAAGGGGUCUUCUGCCCAGGCUCGAAGGCUCACCCUGGCUUCCUUUCCCGGGAACAAGCGAGACGGGACCGGGCCUGGACUUGGGAUCUCUAGUUCUCCUCCGGCAGCGAAGAAGGGGCCCGAACGGAGCUCAAGGGGUCCGAGAGGAGAAGAGGGCAGGAGAGGCUGGAGCCAGAUUGGCAUAUAAUGCAGUUUGACGGGGUCGCUGUGGAUCCACAUCAGGCAGCCCAGUCCCGUUCAAACCGCAUUACAGGAGUCUCCUCGGACCAUAUCAUGCAUUUCAUUUGGCAGUGUGGAUUCAGCUUUAGGCCCCAUCUACAUUGUCCUAUAACCAAUUUCAGGAUGCAGAUUAAUCGCAUUGAGCUGUAUUAUGUCAUUUGCCGCCGGUAUAGAUUCUUAUAUUCCAGUUUGAUGUAGGUUCUCAACCUGUGGGUCCCCAGAUGUUUUGGCCUCCAACUCCCAGAAAUUCUAACAGCUGGUAAACUGGCUGGGAGUUGUAGGCCAAAACACCCGGGGACCCACAGGCUGAGAAGCACUGGUGUAGUUCACCUGCCUUCUGAACCUGCAUUCUAGGGCAGUGGGGAUGGGUCCCCUCUCCUUCACUGGGGAAACAGCGGGUCCAGGAAUCUGGGGGUCUCUGAAGAAGGCGGGGCGGGAGGAGGCCAAGCUCCAGCUGCGAGGGUGACCCUUCUCCUUUCUUUCUCCCUUCUGACUUGGCCUAUUCCUACGGCAGGAAGCGCCGCGGCUUCAGGCGGCGAAGGACCGGGGGCCCCUAAGCGGCGUCGGCAGCGGACCCAGUUCAGUCAGACCCAGGUGGAUAACAUGAAGGCCUCCUUCCAACUGGACGCCUAUCCGGACCACCCGCGGCGGGAGAAACUCGCGGAGAAGAUCGGCGUCGAGGAAGGACGCGUUGCCGUCUGGUUCCAGAACAGAAGAGCCAGGUACUUAAACAAUAAGAAAGGAAAUCAGGGGAAGAAAGCGAAGCAAACCCGGAAUGCCAGGAGGGUUGCCCCCCAGAGUCCGGCAAGAGCCCUCCCAUCUCCCAUACAAGCAGCAACCGAGAUGGCAGCACGUCAGUCCAGCUGGGCUGGACACCUGGGGACUCAUCCUCAGUUGGGACAAACCUGGCCAAGGCCGAACUAUCUCUUCCCACAAAGCUAUGCCUGUGAAAACAGCCAGUUUGGUAGAGGACAGGCCACAGCCUUCAGCCACAGUUCCCACAGGAACCCCUGUGUCCAGAAUUCUCCCUGUUGCUUUGGUGCUGGUGCUCAAGAUGCCUCCUGGAGACCGCAACAGCAGAGCCAGCCGGACUAUGCCGCUUGGGACACAGGUUUUCAUUUAGGGCCCUUCUGUGACCAAGGCCAAGGUUUUCCUGUUGAAGCCCAGCAGCUGGGAGAACAGCUUUCGGUUGUCCAGGAUUCUACAAUGAAUAUAGGACACUUCAUGGACAAUAUCAGGCCUUUCGAAGAGGAUGGCGGCUGUGUAGUGCCUUCUACCCCUGGGAGCAGCCCGGCCCUCCCUGGAGAUGUGGCCUCCAUGAGGCAAGAGCUCAGUCCCUUAGGCUCUUCAAGCUCUAACCAGCCUCCAUAUCCAGUGCCUCCAUAUCCACAGUGGGGGGCUUUGCCAGAACAGGAGAGUCAUUCCCAUUGGCAAAGCUAUGAAGGGCCCUUCCAAAUGACAUUUGGCAGCAUCAACACAAUGGACUUAGGUGGGUGGGAUGGCUUGACGGGAUUUCCGAAUCAGUAAACUGUUAGUCUUGCUUAUCAAUAAUUUUCUAUAAUAAUUAAGAAUGUGCGGUAAUUUAUUGAAUAUUGAUGAAUGAAAUGUGUCACUAACAUUUUGUAAUAAAGUUUUUUCUUGAAAUUUGA